This 206-nucleotide ribosomal RNA is filed under the name uncultured eukaryote. Its description in RNAcentral is "partial 18S ribosomal RNA". It matches the Rfam family "Eukaryotic small subunit ribosomal RNA", at positions 1299 to 1449 of the family's 1831-position model. The record is from RNAcentral.
UGGUGGAGUGAUUUGUCUGGUUGAUUCCGAUAACGAGCGAGAUCUCUGCCUCCCAAUAUGUCAUUGCGUCGAUUUUUGUAGGGAUUUGCCUGCCUCGGCCACCUGGUUUGUCUCGGCAGGCCAGGUCCGUACAGGCUCCCGAGAUGCAGUGUUGACUUCUCAGAGGUGCCAUGUGUGCCCACACAAGCGCAUGUAUGCAAGAGCCG